GACAGAGCACUCCGUACGGAGGCAGCAGUGGGAAUAUUGCACAAUGGGCGCAAGCCUGAUGCAGCCAUGCCGCGUGUAUGAAGAAGGACCUUCGGGUUGUAAAGUACUUCAGCAGUGAGGAAGGUGGGUAUGUUAAUAGCAUAUUCAUUUGACGUUAGCUGCAGAAGAAGCACCGGCUAACUCCGUGCCAGCAGCCGCGGUAAUACGGAGGGUGCGAGCGUUAAUCGGAAUUACUGGGCGUAAAGCGCAUGCAGGUGGUUUGUUAAGUCAGAUGUGAAAGCCCGGGGCUCAACCUCGGAAUUGCAUUUGAAACUGGCAAACUAGAGUACUGUAGAGGGGGUAGAAUUUCAGGUGUAGCGGUGAAAUGCGUAGAGAUCUGAAGGAAUACCGGUGGCGAAGGCGGCCCCCCUGGACAGAUACUGACACUCAGAUGCGAAAGCGUGGGGAGCAAACAGGAUUAGAUACCCUGGUAG
RNAcentral lists this ribosomal RNA (473 nucleotides) under uncultured bacterium. RNAcentral's name for it is "bacterial SSU rRNA". It matches the Rfam family "Bacterial small subunit ribosomal RNA", at positions 323 to 793 of the family's 1533-position model. The record is from RNAcentral.